AUGUCUCCAAAAUGGCCAAAAAUGGCAUCAAAAUGGCCAAAAAUGGCCAAAGAUGGCAUCAAAAUGAUACGAAAUGACCCAAAAUGCACCAAAAUGGCCCCAAAAUGGCCCAAAAUGUCUCAAAAUGCCCCAAAAUGUUUCAAAAUGGCCCAAAAUUGCCCCAAAAUGGCACCAAAAUGGCACCAAAAUGUCCCAAAAAUGUCCCAAAAUGGCACCAAAUGGCACCAAAAUGUCCCCAAAAUGGCCCAAAAUGGCCCCAAAAUGGCCCCAAAAUGCCCCAAAAUGGCCCAAAAAUGUCACAAAAUUGCCCCAAAAAACCCAGAAAAAAAAUCUCUAAAAAACAUGGAAAAAAUCCCCAAAAAUUCCCAAAAAAAUCCCCAAAAAUUCCCAAAAAAUCCCCAAAAAUUCCCAAAAAAAUCCCAAAAAUUCCCCAAAAAAUCCCAAAAAAUAAAAAAAAAUUCCCAAAAAUUCCCAAAAAUUCCCAAAAAUUCCCCAAAAAAUCCCCAAAAUUCCAAAAAAAAUCCCAAAAAAUCCCAAAAAAAUCCCAAAAAAUCCCAAAAAUUCCCAAAAAUUCCCAAAAAAAUCCCAAAAAUUCCCCCAAAAAAACCAAAAAAAUCCCAAAAAAUCCCAAAAAUUCCCAAAAAAAUCCCAAAAAUUCCCCCAAAAAAUCCCAAAAAAUCCCCAAAAUUCCCAAAAAUUCCAAAAAAAAUCCCAAAAAUUCCCCAAAAAAUCCCAAAAAUUCCCAAAAAUUCCCAAAAAAAUCCCAAAAAUUCCCCAAAAAAAUCCCAAAAAUUCCCAAAAAUUCCUGAAUUGUCCCAGAAUGGUCCCCAAGUGUCCCCAAAAUCCCCAAACCCUCCUGGAACCCCUAAAAAAAUCCCCCAAAAAUCCAUAAAAAACCCUAAAAAUCCCCAAAAAAUAAAAAAAAAAUCCAAAAAAAUCCAAAAAAAAUUCCAAAAAAAUAAAAAAAAAAUCUGGAAAAAUUCCCAAAAAUUCCUAAAAAGUCUGGAAAAAUUCCCAAAAAUUCCUGAAUUGUCUCUGCAUCUCCAAAGCAUCUCCAAACCCUCCUGGAACCCCUAA
This 1077-nucleotide long non-coding RNA is filed under the name Cyanistes caeruleus (blue tit). RNAcentral describes it as "lncRNA (ENSCCEG00000007239.1)". The record is from RNAcentral. Lineage: Eukaryota; Metazoa; Chordata; Aves; Passeriformes; Paridae.